This 195-nucleotide non-coding RNA is filed under the name Gracilibacillus halophilus YIM-C55.5. Its description in RNAcentral is "6S / SsrS RNA". It matches the Rfam family "6S / SsrS RNA". Rfam says of the family: E. coli 6S RNA was the first non coding RNA to be sequenced, but its function was unknown until recently. It consists of 184 nucleotides that fold into an extended hairpin structure with a large single-stranded internal bulge. The record is from Rfam by way of RNAcentral. Lineage: Bacteria; Bacillati; Bacillota; Bacilli; Caryophanales; Bacillaceae.
CAAAUCCUGAUGUGUCCGUCGAAGAAUUGCUGUUUUGACCGAACACUUUGAUACAUUGGGAGCUCGGAGUUCUUGUAUGGUGUGCAUGCCACCUACUUAUUGAUAUAGUGGACGCAUGAAGUACAAGACAGAGCACCCACCUGCCUCGAGCGGGAUCAAAACAUCAUGUAGGCCGACGGCACAAUUGGGAUUAGU